UGCGAGAGUGGCGGAAUUGGUAGACGCGCUGGUUUUAGGUACCAGUACCAUUGGUGUGGGAGUUCGAGUCUCCCCUCUCGUAA
Molecule: transfer RNA, 83 nt
Filed under: Gammaproteobacteria bacterium
Lineage: Bacteria; Pseudomonadati; Pseudomonadota; Gammaproteobacteria
Description: tRNA-Leu(tag)
Rfam family: tRNA
About the family: Transfer RNA (tRNA) molecules are approximately 80 nucleotides in length. Their secondary structure includes four short double-helical elements and three loops (D, anti-codon, and T loops).
Source: RNAcentral